UUACGUUUGCAUGAGCGUGGUCGCGCCUGCUUUCUUCUCGACAUACUUGGAGCUGGGCUGGAGCAAGGUGGAGUGGUGCCGAUCACCACCACCACUGCCACCGCUGCCGGUGGGAUACGGGCAGAAGCAGGCUGUCUCUCCUAGCCACUUCCUGACUUUCUCCCUCUCUCUCACAAUGGCUGUUUCUCUCACUCUGUCUCUAUGAAUUUCUCUCACGCUUUAGGUAGCAUUAAGCUUACUCUUCCUCUCGGUCUCACUUCAUGAGUGUAUAUACGUAUACGCUGUCUCUGCAUGCAUGAGAUUAAAUAUAUAUAUAUGUAUAUUAUUAUUAUAUAUAUAUACACAUAUACAUGGGUGUGUGUGAGUGUUAUACCUCUGUCACUGUGAACACAUUCAUGUUCUGCGGUCGCUACGUAUGUCUCAAUUCCACGCUCUCAGCUGCUUUAAAUCCUCCCUCCAUCUCUUUCGUUCUUGUGACGAAGCCCGGAGCCCUGCUGCAAUCACUCCAGGCGGGAGGACGUCAACGACAACACAGUACUAAGUAACCUAGCACAACCACUACCAUCAGGAACUUUAUGGCCAAAUAGCGACAAAGACCGAUCGAAAAAACAUUACACUGCAAUAUGUAACUAUAACAACCAUAUAACGAUGAAAAUCACUUAAGUUAACACAAUCAGGGGUUCAGGUGAGUGAGGAAAAUUAUAUGACGAAGAGUUUCAUAGAAAACAAAAACAUAAAUGAAUCAAAAUAAAUGACAAUGUGUUUGAAUGUCAGUGUCUGUAAAGAUAGAAAAAGAAAGAGCAGAGAAAAGUGAAGGAAGACGAAAUGAAAUCUAGAGAUGACAGGACGUGUAAAAGGGCUGAAACCGAGAUGGGUUGAGGGUGCCGGUUUGAUUUAAUAUUUUAAUCCCGGCACGUUUUUAUCCUUCGUUCACCACCAUUCGUUUCCUAUACAAUCAACGACACUCCAUUUCUCCCUCUCUCUUUCUUUCAUCAACAUAAUAUUCGAGUUCUCGUUAUGCUGGAAAGUCUGGAGUAGCUACUUGGGCCGACUGAAAAGAAUCGACUGGGUACUUACAUAGGUGCCGCCGGCUUGAUUGAUUUUCUAGCACACUGCACACAAGAAGCACUAUACUGUAGAGAAGGUAGAACCGUUGUUAGCUACAAUCAGUGUUGAGUGUAAACCCUGAUAUCAGUCGCCACUACCACAUCUGUCCCCCACCAGUCUGUUGCUGCUGUUGUUGUUGUUUUCUUGACGCUUGUACAUAAGAGUAAAUACUCCUAAGUCUUCUAUAGCAAUAACAGGCAACCAGAACAAUUAACAGCAGGAAGUUAAUGGAGGAAGAUACACACGAGCUGAUACUAUAUUGGGUAAGUUUGUCUAUACUUUACUGUUGUGCAUAACUACUACAUAUAUAAAUGUACGUGUGUAUAUACUUCUACAUCUUUUUAUAUCUUUUCAGGUUUUGUAAUGUUUCAUUGUAAGGAGCCGGGGGACCCUUCAACCCGACAGAUCAAUAGUGAUGGUACUGCUGGUCGGUGGCACACAGCAGCUUAUAUACUAAGAGAAUCUUAUGGUGUUUUGGGUGGUUGCAGAGAGUGCACUGUUUAUCAAAUUACGCUUUGGUUUUUACUGUAGGGUCACCUGAAGCCUGAAACGAAUACACCUUUCUGGUUGUCAAAAUGCCUAAUUAUUCAAGAUGUUGCUAGUGCCUGAAAUAAAGAAGUCUCCGUUUUUUUUUUUAAAUUUCAGUAGAUACUGGAUGUAUUUUUUUUUAAGUUUGAAUUAGGUUGUCUAUUACCGAAGUUUUUUUUUUGUUUUUAUUUUAUAAUUAUUUAUUUAUUAGAUUCUGAAUUUUACGUACGAUGUCUGCUGUAAUUGCAAUAACAUGGAUACUUUCGUUUAUGGAUAAAGGCCAGGCUGGCAUUUCUUAUGAUCUUUCUUUUUACUUAGAAUACUUACUUAAAGCAUAUUGUGAUCAAUAAUAGUUAGGCACUAUCAUUCUAAUAAAUUUUUUGAAGUGUUUCCGAGAGAAUUCUAAGUUUAAAUGUUUUUUAAUGUUCUGUUGGCAGCAUGUAGAAUGUAAUAACGUGGAGAAUGACAAAUGUUAGGAGAAACCUUCAAAGGAAGAUUUGUCGAUUACAAUUUUUUUAAGAUUUUCUAUAAAUUCUACAUAUUAGUUUCAUGAAAAUCUGUUUUAAUUAUUGGUUCUCAGAGAUUACUUAGAAAAAUACUCGUUCAGGUGUCAAACGACACUUGGAUUCUAGCAGAGUAAUUGGUAAAAAUACCUGAGCAUGUAUGCGCGUGUGAAUUAAACAGAAUGCUUUAUCAACAUAAUUUCUGUUCUUCAUCCAUUAGUUACAGUUUAAGGAAAUUCAAACAUAUUAAAAAAAACUAACAAAACUUUCAGCUUGGGAGAAAGUAAGGGUGCGUGUGUAAUUAAUAAUUGUGGGAAAUUUUAAUUGCAGUUUUUAUAAGAACCGCAGAAGACUUCAGUGAAUUACAGUGACAGAAUAAUAAUUGUCUUUCAUAAUACAGGGGUUGAUAGAGAGUGGUCCGAAUUGAGAAAGAGAGACUAUCGGAAGAUGUUGAUAGGAAACAAUGAAGUAAAAGAAAAUAAGUGAAUAUAUGGCGAUUAUAUUGGAUAGAAGUAGUGGAGGUGGUUGUAAUCGAUGGUAGUGGUGUCAUACACUGUGUUAAUGCCGCUGAUAAGAUGCUAAGCAAUGUUUUGUAAUAAUAAUGAUGUCGAAAGCUUUUGUGUUGUAUUAUAGAGUUCCUGGUUAUUUGGUGACCGCGAUAUUCGGCUCUGGUUGUUUUGUUGUUCAGUCUGUAAUAGUGAAUAUUAAGGUGGUGAUGACGGCGGUUCUGAGAGAGAGAAGGAGAGGGGAUAAAAACGAGCGAACACGAGAGAUGUUAGCCUAAACAGAACACGUAGAGCUUGCUUAGUACAAGAAACCCAGCGUGUGUUAGUAUGAGGAGAGGAGGAGAUGGAGAAAAAGAGAGAAGGAAGCAGGCUACGUCACCAGAUGAAUAUUGAAUUGCAAUUGGAGCUAACGGCACCCCUGGGGGAUGUUCCCUAGGGAGGCGACCUUUCGCAUACUGAGUCAGACGCGUGAUUUGGGUACGGUUUCUAGCCGUUUUAGUUCGGUUAGAAUAACAGUGUAUUUUUAGCUAGAGAGAAAGGGAGAAAGGAAUAUGCUCGUAUUCACCAAUAAUACAGUCGAAUGUUUUUUUUUUAAUGUUGUUUUUAUCCUAUGAGAACCAAGUCACGCUGGCCACUGCCAUUCACAGCACAAGUCGGCUGGGCAUUUACUACCACUCUUUCUUCCACUCCUUCUUUCCUCUACUUCUCCAGUCCCCCGAUGGAAGCAGUGGUAGGUGGAUUCCUUAUUCUAUGCCAUCUUUAGUAGCCAUGGUAUAGUGAGUGGGCACUCAAGAGGCGGGAUAUUUCUCUCUAUAGAAGGCGUAUCUCAUAUGGAUUACAUAGAGAGGAAAUCGACUGAAUUAAGGCGGAAGAAAGUAGUUUUUAAGUUUGGCUCUCUUUUCUGCUGCUGCUGCUGCUUCCACACUUUUUCCCUCCUUCCCUCUCUGUUUCUCCAAUACUUUCCUCUCCACUCACAUGCUGAACUUGAAACACUUUCACUUUAUAUGUAAACACAUGUAUGCACAUGCGCAGUUGCUUAGCCAGGGGCAAGUAACUCCAUGAAGAGGCCGGUAGGGGUGUGUACGUGCCUACAUCCAUUGGUUGCAUCAUUGGAAAACAGCACACGCAGAAAAUUAUUUAGUGCGUUGCAUAGACUUGCACGUGUAGCAGUAACUGAUUACGUACAAAAUCUACGUCUCUUAUACAGUCGUAUAUAUUAUUACUUUUUAUAAACUUCUGCUUUCCCGUAAAAAGUAACGCAUUUUGCAAAGCCAUUUACAUAUCUAUCCCAUUGUAAGUAAUAUGAUAGAAAUAUAUUUAUAUAUCUAUGAAAUGCACGAGACAGGUGAAUGUAAGAUGAUGUAAUUAAGCCCUUGGUUAUUUACAACUAAACAUACCUGUAUAAUGAAAGAUGUCCCAGCCAUUCUUUUAGUCGAAAAUAUUAUAGAAAAUAUUACACACACACACACACACACACACACACACACACAUAUAUAUAUAUAUAUAUAUAUAUAUAAUUCUACACAUCGGUUACUCCUCAUUUGUUUACACCCAAAAUCGAUUUAUGCGUAAAUUCUGCAAAGACCUGCGACCCUAGUUUUGCUUGUCUCCUUUAUCAGACAUUGGUUUAAUUAGAGGGUGUAAGUGCGGUUAAUGUGACUUACAGUUUCUGCAGGUUAACGAGCUAGGUAAUUUCAGGACGUACUAGGUGUAACGUUGACACUCACCCUUAAAGGUAAUGAAGUAAAGAUUUUAAGAAAUAUAUUUAUUCUAAGUAUUAUAUGUUGUCGAAAUAAAAAUUACAGUUUAUCUUAUGUGCUAAUGCAAUAUUACAUGUGUUAGCAAACUGUGUUAACCUCUGUUUUCGUUGCUAAUAGCUGCGCUGUGUUGUCAUCGCUCAUCUAUUUUCUUUUCCUUUUUCUUUUUUUCUUGGUAUGCUGUAAUAUCAUGUGGUGAGUAAAAUGAAACAGGCGUCUAUGACGCUACUAAAUAAAAUCGAGUGGCAAGACAACAGCAUGAAGCCCACCCAGAGAGUAAUUUUUGGACGUACUCCGUACACUGUUUACACGAUUCAAAAUAUAAAUGCUCACUGUUAUUUUAGAGGAGAUCAUUUUUAUUCUUUACUUAUUGCUAUUUAUAAACAUAAUAUCCUGUCAUUUAAACAUAAUUUAUAUAUUUAUAUAUUUUUAUUCCACGUAGGCAUGGCGCUGUGGUUAAGAAAAAUGCUACAUCAUCAUUGGAUUUCAGGUUCGAUCUCAGUGCUCAGCAAGGUAGUCAAGUGCUUUCUGACAUAACCUUCAGGUGAUCAAUACCUUAUGAGCGGAACUGAGUACUCGGAGGAAAAGAGAGUAUAGAAAACAUGUUAUAUGUAUAGAUAAUAAAACAUUAUUCACUAUCACGGUUCGAUACUACUUUAAUUUUUUUUUUCUAGUGUGUCACUGGACGCUUCUUUGUUACUUG
Molecule: long non-coding RNA, 5104 nt
Filed under: Octopus vulgaris (common octopus)
Lineage: Eukaryota; Metazoa; Mollusca; Cephalopoda; Octopoda; Octopodidae
Source: RNAcentral